Molecule: ribosomal RNA, 473 nt
Filed under: uncultured bacterium
Lineage: Bacteria
Description: bacterial SSU rRNA
Rfam family: Bacterial small subunit ribosomal RNA
Source: RNAcentral
UGGGGAAUAUUGCGCAAUGGGCGAAAGCCUGACGCAGCAACGCCGCGUGAGUGAUGAAGGCCUUCGGGUCGUAAAGCUCUGUCGGAGGGAACGAAUGCUCCAGGGGUUAACAGCCUCCGGAGGUGACGGUACCCUCAAAGGAAGCACCGGCUAACUCUGUGCCAGCAGCCGCGGUAAUACGUAGGGACCAAGCGUUGUUCGGAUUUACUGGGCGUAAAGGGCGCGUAGGCGGCAAUUCAAGUCAUCUGUGAAAUCUCCGGGCUUAACUCGGAACGGUCAGAUGAUACUGCUUUGCUAGAGUGCAGAAGGGGCAAUCGGAAUUCUUGGUGUAGCGGUGAAAUGCGUAGAUAUCAAGAGGAACACCUGAGGUGAAGACGGGUUGCUGGGCUGACACUGACGCUGAGGCGCGAAAGCCAGGGGAGCAAACGGGAUUAGAUACCCUCGUAGUCCCUGAGCGGGCUGGCAAGGCGCAU